GAUCCUACGGGGGGCAGCAGUGAGGAAUAUUGGUCAAUGGACGGAAGUCUGAACCAGCCAUGCCGCGUGCAGGAUGACGGCUCUAUGAGUUGUAAACUGCUUUUGUACGAGAAUAAUAGUUCUUACGUGUAGGGAUUUGAAUGUAUCGUACGAAUAAGGAUCGGCUAACUCCGUGCCAGCAGCCGCGGUAAUACGGAGGAUGCGAGCGUUAUCCGGAUUUAUUGGGUUUAAAGGGUGCGCAGGCGGCACGGCAAGCCGGCGGUCAAAUCGCGGGGCUCAACCCCGCCCAGCCGUCGGAACUGCCG
This 305-nucleotide ribosomal RNA is filed under the name uncultured bacterium. Its description in RNAcentral is "bacterial SSU rRNA". It matches the Rfam family "Bacterial small subunit ribosomal RNA", at positions 335 to 638 of the family's 1533-position model. The record is from RNAcentral.